This 398-nucleotide long non-coding RNA is filed under the name Elaeis guineensis (African oil palm). RNAcentral's name for it is "long non-coding RNA (EGUI_LNC059606)". The record is from RNAcentral. Lineage: Eukaryota; Viridiplantae; Streptophyta; Magnoliopsida; Arecales; Arecaceae.
CUCUUCCUCUAUUAAUUCUUCUCCAUCUCUGAAGCAUCUAAGAGAUCAAAAGAAGAAGAAGAAGAUCAGCCUUCAAAGAUCUUUGCGAACUAACAUUCUCGAAGAGCCUGAUCAGCAUCCGUUCUUCAUGUGGACGAUCUGUGGAGGUCAGAUACCUUUGUGCGACUUUGAGCAAUCUGAAGAAACUCCUAUCCAUGUGAUACAUUUUUAGAGAUCAGCAACCCGUGCUUCGGUAAUGAGUUCUGAACUAGUUAGAUCAGGCUUGGUUAGAUUCAAGGGUUAGAUCUAGUCUACAACAUCAAUAUAAUCAAUACAGAUUUUUAUUUUUUAGAUCUUAAUCUCAUAUUUAAUCAUAUCAUAGAUCUUGACAUAGUAGUUUAGAUUAGAUCUUGGGCAUG